AGCUCAUGACCCACAGGGAGCGGAGUCUCCUGAGACUUGUGGGUCUCCAUUUUCUGUGUGGGGUGGGAAAGGAAAGAGGACCCCUAAAGCACCACUGUCCUUAGAGGCUGGGCCAUCUCUAGGUGCCCACUUUCAGAUUCUGACUUAGCUGUUGCCUCUGCCCUGGGAGCAGCCUACUUUUUAGAAAGAAAGGCAGAAUGUGGGAGAGACAUGAAGUGGGGAGUCCAGGAAAGAGAGGGGGAGCCUGUUAAUAGGGGUAGCUGCAUGGUCCAGCCCUGCAGACAACCGGAAGACUGCUACCUAGCCCCCAGAGCAGUUGGGUUCAAUGGAUGCCCGACCAGCACCUUCCUAUGCAAACAGCCAGCCCUGUGAAAAUAACUCAGCCCAUCUCCAAGGCCAGCCACUCAAAGCCCAGGUCUUGACCAUCCUCUGCUGUCACCUGUGGUGUGCAGUGCUGUCCUGCGAGGAUGACCAGGGUCCGCCUGACAGGACCCGUGCAUAGCUUAUCGGAACCAAAGCAAUCUUCAAGAGCAGAGGGAACUGACGGAAACAGGAGCUGGGAAAGCUUGGCUUUCUGGGACGCAGACAUCAGCUUCUGAGGCCAAGGAAACAUUGUUGAGCACUCCAGACCUGUCCACAAACAGCAGAUUGACCUGGCUGGCCGCGGUCCCAAGAUCCUGGGAAGUGUCCUGAGUAAGAAGAGUUUGCAGUGCAUGUCAGCAGCCACAGGCAACUGGGCACCCUUGGCAAAUGAGCAAUGCCAGGAGCAUCUCAGAGGUCCACUGUGGCUCCACGGUGCCCACACCUCCCGUCAGAGAGGUGAAGCUGACUCCUGCACAUGCUCUCCCCUUCCACUGGAGAAGACUCUGCAGUUGUUUCUGAGGGGAGUCAGGGACACAGGUCCAGCCACUGCUCAUCUGUAUGUCCAUCUCAGCUGCAGCCUCGAAGUGCAAGAUCCGCUCUGUGGUGGAUUUCGCUCCCAGCAGUCAGGCCUUGGCUGUGAGGAGACCUGAGAAGCAAGUGAGCACAUCAUCGCUUCCCCUCCACGGGUGCACAGGCCAGCCUAUGCGGCAUCCGAC
This is a non-coding RNA of Peromyscus maniculatus bairdii (prairie deer mouse), 1079 nucleotides long. The record is from RefSeq and is a predicted model, not a curated record. Lineage: Eukaryota; Metazoa; Chordata; Mammalia; Rodentia; Cricetidae.